RNAcentral lists this transfer RNA (73 nucleotides) under Alosa alosa (allis shad). Its description in RNAcentral is "tRNA-Pro". It matches the Rfam family "tRNA". Rfam says of the family: Transfer RNA (tRNA) molecules are approximately 80 nucleotides in length. Their secondary structure includes four short double-helical elements and three loops (D, anti-codon, and T loops). Lineage: Eukaryota; Metazoa; Chordata; Actinopteri; Clupeiformes; Clupeidae. The record is from RNAcentral.
GGCUCGUUGGUCUAGGGGUAUGAUUCUCGCUUAGGGUGCGAGAGAGGUCCUGGUUCAAAUCCCGGACGAGCCC